UACGAAGGGGGCUAGCGUUGCUCGGAAUCACUGGGCGUAAAGCGCACGUAGGCGGCUUACUAAGUCAGGGGUGAAAUCCUGGAGCUCAACUCCAGAACUGCCUUUGAUACUGGCGAUCUCGAGUCCGGGAGAGGUGAGUGGAACUGCGAGUGUAGAGGUGAAAUUCGUAGAUAUUCGCAAGAACACCAGUGGCGAAGGCGGCUCACUGGCCCGGUACUGACGCUGAGGUGCGAAAGCGUGGGGAGCAAACAGG
This 253-nucleotide ribosomal RNA is filed under the name uncultured bacterium. Its description in RNAcentral is "partial 16S ribosomal RNA". It matches the Rfam family "Bacterial small subunit ribosomal RNA", at positions 524 to 776 of the family's 1533-position model. The record is from RNAcentral.